RNAcentral lists this ribosomal RNA (495 nucleotides) under uncultured bacterium. RNAcentral describes it as "partial 16S ribosomal RNA". It matches the Rfam family "Bacterial small subunit ribosomal RNA", at positions 28 to 523 of the family's 1533-position model. The record is from RNAcentral.
GAUGAACGCUAGCGGGAGGCCUAACACAUGCAAGCCGAGCGGUAUUGUUUCUUCGGAAAUGAGAGAGCGGCGUACGGGUGCGUAACACGUGUGCAACCUGCCUUUAUCUGGGGGAUAGCCUUUCGAAAGGAAGAUUAAUACUCCAUAAUAUAUUGAACGGCAUCGUUUAAUAUUGAAAGCUCCGGCGGAAAGAGAUGGGCACGCGAAAGAUUAGAUAGUUGGUGAGGUAACGGCCCACCAAGGCGAUGAUCUUUAGGGGGCCUGAGAGGGUGAUCCCCCACACUGGUACUGAGACACGGACCAGACUCCUACGGGAGGCAGCAGUGAGGAAUAUUGGUCAAUGGGUGCAAGCCUGAACCAGCCAUCCCGCGUGAAGGACGACUGCUCUAUGGGUUGUAAACUUCUUUUGUAUAGGGAUAAACCUACCCUCGAGAGGGUAGCUGAAGGUACUAUACGAAUAAGCACCGGCUAACUCCGUGCCAGCAGCCGCAGUAA